Molecule: non-coding RNA, 22 nt
Filed under: Salmo salar (Atlantic salmon)
Lineage: Eukaryota; Metazoa; Chordata; Actinopteri; Salmoniformes; Salmonidae
Also listed under: 1 other name
Gene: ssa-let-7f-5p
Source: miRBase by way of RNAcentral
UGAGGUAGUAGAUUGUAUUGUU